This 309-nucleotide ribosomal RNA is filed under the name Halomonas sp. 2-1/F3. RNAcentral describes it as "bacterial SSU rRNA". It matches the Rfam family "Bacterial small subunit ribosomal RNA", at positions 544 to 851 of the family's 1533-position model. The record is from RNAcentral. Lineage: Bacteria; Pseudomonadati; Pseudomonadota; Gammaproteobacteria; Oceanospirillales; Halomonadaceae.
AUCGGAAUUACUGGGCGUAAAGCGUGCGUAGGCGUCUUGGUAAGUCCUGUUGUGAAAGCCCCGGGCUCAACCUGGGAACGGCAUCCGGAACUGUCAGGCUAGAGUGCAGGAGAGGAAGGURGAAUUCCCGGUGUAGCGGUGAAAUGCGUAGAGAUCGGGAGGAAUACCAGUGGCGAAGGCGGCCUUCUGGACUGACACUGACGCUGAGGUACGAAAGCGUGGGUAGCAACCAGGAUUAGAUACCCUGGUAGUCCACGCCGUAAACGAUGUCGACUAGCCGUUGGGGUCCUCGAGACCUCUGUGGCGCAG